AUUGAACGCUGGCGGCAUGCUUUACACAUGCAAGUCGAACGGCAGCGCGGGGCAACCUGGCGGCGAGUGGCGAACGGGUGAGUAAUAUAUCGGAACGUACCCAAGAGUGGGGGAUAACGUAGCGAAAGUUACGCUAAUACCGCAUACGAUCUAAGGAUGAAAGCAGGGGACCGCAAGGCCUUGUGCUCCUGGAGCGGCCGAUAUCUGAUUAGCUAGUUGGUAGGGUAAAGGCCUACCAAGGCGACAAAUCAGUAGCUGGUCUGAGAGGACGACCAGCCACACUGGGACUGAGACACGGCCCAGAC
RNAcentral lists this ribosomal RNA (305 nucleotides) under uncultured bacterium. RNAcentral's name for it is "bacterial SSU rRNA". It matches the Rfam family "Bacterial small subunit ribosomal RNA", at positions 30 to 336 of the family's 1533-position model. The record is from RNAcentral.